RNAcentral lists this long non-coding RNA (216 nucleotides) under Helianthus annuus (common sunflower). RNAcentral's name for it is "sRNA HanXRQr2_Chr03g0111791". Lineage: Eukaryota; Viridiplantae; Streptophyta; Magnoliopsida; Asterales; Asteraceae. The record is from RNAcentral.
GGAGCUCGAAGGACCUCUUUCUCUAGCUUUUAUCCACCACAUUCGCGUCUAGAUACUUCCCUAGCCUCGAGCUAGUGGUCACGACGCUAGAUAAGCAACUCCGGUGAAGUUUACGAUGCAGGAACGCAAAGUUGUGACAGGAUGGAUCUUGGGCGCAAGUGUUGUAACUAGAAGUAGACUACAAGUUUAGAUGUCAUCCACUUUUGUUGAAUUGUA